GAUGAACGCUGGCGGCGUGCCUAAUACAUGCAAGUCGAGCGAACAGACGAGGAGCUUGCUCCUCUGACGUUAGCGGCGGACGGGUGAGUAACACGUGGAUAACCUACCUAUAAGACUGGGAUAACUUCGGGAAACCGGAGCUAAUACCGGAUAAUAUAUUGAACCGCAUGGUUCAAUAGUGAAAGACGGCUUUGCUGUCACUUAUAGAUGGAUCCGCGCCGCAUUAGCUAGUUGGUAAGGUAACGGCUUACCAAGGCAACGAUGCGUAGCCGACCUGAGAGGGUGAUCGGCCACACUGGAACUGAGACACGGUCCAGACUCCUACGGGAGGCAGCAGUAGGGAAUCUUGCGCAAUGGGCGAAAGCCUGACGGAGCAACGCCGCGUGAGUGAUGAAGGUCUUCGGAUCGUAAAGCUCUGUUAUUAGGGAAGAAAAACUGUGUAAGUAACUAUGCACGUCUUGACGGUACCUAAUCAGAAAGCCACGGCUAACUACGUG
Molecule: ribosomal RNA, 497 nt
Filed under: uncultured bacterium
Lineage: Bacteria
Description: partial 16S ribosomal RNA
Rfam family: Bacterial small subunit ribosomal RNA
Source: RNAcentral